Molecule: ribosomal RNA, 253 nt
Filed under: uncultured bacterium
Lineage: Bacteria
Description: partial 16S ribosomal RNA
Rfam family: Bacterial small subunit ribosomal RNA
Source: RNAcentral
UACGUAGGGGGCAAGCGUUGUCCGGAAUCAUUGGGCGUAAAGAGCGUGUAGGCGGCUCGAUAAGUCUGCUGUGAAAGUCCAGGGCUCAACCCUGGAAGGCCGGUGGAAACUGUCGGGCUAGAGUCCGGAAGAGGAGUGUGGAAUUCCUGGUGUAGCGGUGAAAUGCGCAGAUAUCAGGAAGAACACCUAUGGCGAAGGCAGCACUCUGGGACGGUACUGACGCUGAGACGCGAAAGCGUGGGGAGCGAACAGG